RNAcentral lists this ribosomal RNA (279 nucleotides) under uncultured bacterium. RNAcentral describes it as "partial 16S ribosomal RNA". It matches the Rfam family "Bacterial small subunit ribosomal RNA", at positions 76 to 353 of the family's 1533-position model. The record is from RNAcentral.
CUUGCUAAGUUUGAUGGCGACCGGCGCACGGGUGAGUAACACGUAUCCAACCUGCCGAUAACUCGGGGAUAGCCUUUCGAAAGAAAGAUUAAUACCCGAUGGCAUAAUAGAACCGCAUGGUUUGAUUAUUAAAGAAUUUCGGUUAUCGAUGGGGAUGCGUUCCAUUAGGCAGUUGGUGGGGUAACGGCCCACCAAACCUUCGAUGGAUAGGGGUUCUGAGAGGAAGGUCCCCCACAUUGGAACUGAGACACGGUCCAAACUCCUACGGGAGGCAGCAUG